AACAACACCAACAACGUCUCCUCCACCAGCAACCUCCACUCCUCCACCAGUGUCAGCCCCACCUCCAGUCACCCAAUCCCCACCUCCAGCUACACCUCCUCCGGUCUCAGCCCCACCACCAGCCUCCCCUCCUCCAGCCACACCACCCCCAGCAACACCUCCUCCCGCCACACCUCCACCAGCAACACCUCCUCCAGCCACACCGCCACCUGCUACUCCACCACCAGCAACCCCUCCUCCAGCUGUUCCUCCACCAGCUCCCUUGGCUUCUCCGCCAGCUCUUGUUCCAGCUCCAGCUCCAG
RNAcentral lists this long non-coding RNA (302 nucleotides) under Populus trichocarpa (black cottonwood). Its description in RNAcentral is "long non-coding RNA (PTRI_LNC000294)". The record is from RNAcentral. Lineage: Eukaryota; Viridiplantae; Streptophyta; Magnoliopsida; Malpighiales; Salicaceae.